AACUUGACGAUCUGCAAGGUGUUAGAC
Molecule: small RNA, 27 nt
Filed under: Bombyx mori (domestic silkworm)
Lineage: Eukaryota; Metazoa; Arthropoda; Insecta; Lepidoptera; Bombycidae
Description: ovarian small RNA-10467
Source: RNAcentral